RNAcentral lists this unclassified non-coding RNA (200 nucleotides) under Bolbitiaceae sp. RNAcentral's name for it is "partial internal transcribed spacer 2". The record is from RNAcentral. Lineage: Eukaryota; Fungi; Basidiomycota; Agaricomycetes; Agaricales; Bolbitiaceae.
UUAAGUUCAGCGGGUAGUCCUACCUGAUUUGAGGUCAAAUGGUUCAAGUUGUCCAAAGACGGUUAGAAGCAGGGCAAACACCUUUUUACAGCAAUCCUAAGGAUCCACGGCGUAGAUAAUUAUCACACCAAUAGAUAGGUUUGCGCGGGGCACCCACUAAUUCAUUUGAGAGGAGCAGACUUUUCAGCCUGCAAAAAACC